AACGUAGGUGGCGAGCGUUAUCCGGAUUUACUGGGCGUAAAGGGUGUGCAGGCGGGUGAACAAGUUGGUGUAUGAAAGGUUUACGGCUCAACCGGAGAUAGGUUAUGCCAGACUGUUUACCGUAGGAGUGUGAGAGAGGGGACGUGGAAUUCCGGGUGUAGUGGUGAAAUGCGUAGAGAUCCGGAGGAACCCAGAGGCGAAGGCGGCGAUCCGUGGCUCGACAACUGACGCUCAUACACGACAGCAUGGGGGAGCGAACGGG
RNAcentral lists this ribosomal RNA (262 nucleotides) under uncultured bacterium. RNAcentral's name for it is "partial 16S ribosomal RNA". It matches the Rfam family "Bacterial small subunit ribosomal RNA", at positions 524 to 776 of the family's 1533-position model. The record is from RNAcentral.